CAUCGCUGAUCAUGCAUAUCUCAUGUGAGAACAUCAGAGUUGGAACACAGCUUGAAUGGCUGUGUGGGUGGACGGAGGAGUCCACAUGCUGGGAGGACGAUGACGCUCUUCACCUGAACUCGGGUACUUUAGGUUAGAAGUUACUGCCUAGCAUUGUGGGUUAUAAGUUUUUCAAUGUUGCGUGCUUAAAAACAUUCUGCAAAACUUUGAAGUAGCGUCUCUCAUACAAGAGAACAUACAACAAUACUAAGAACUUGUCAGACGACCCUGCGUGCUUUCAAAGGUAUGGGGAAUGACUUUCUUUUACAGGUAAAAUGUCUCCUCCAUGUGGUUUGAGAUCUUAAGGAAGCUCUUAAAUAUUGCCACGAUGAUGUGAAAUGAGACGACCUUCCCAGUACCUGUCCUCCGCUGUUUUCUGCCUAAAUGAUGUUCACCCUGGUGGCAGGCUCCAAAUCAAGACUCUCCAGCUACUUCUGCUGCUUUGUGCAUUAUACCGUUUCGCGUUCCCUCACCAGCUGGAAGCAGCACGGAAAUGCACGAGGAGCAGAGGAAGGAUGUGGUCCAUCCGGGACAGGCUGAGCUCUUAUGCUGAAGAUCGCCACCCAGUGGGGACACGGGAAAUUCCAGCCCAGGGUGCCCAGCUGUGACCCAAUGAGGAAAAGCCUGUGGAUGGUGACAGAAAGCUGACUAACAUAAGAGUCACUGAAGACUUUCAUCUUUUCUCUAAUAAAAUGGAGUCAGACAUUGUGCUGGCUGGUUUU
Molecule: long non-coding RNA, 761 nt
Filed under: Mus spicilegus (steppe mouse)
Lineage: Eukaryota; Metazoa; Chordata; Mammalia; Rodentia; Muridae
Description: lncRNA (ENSMSIG00000011821.1)
Source: RNAcentral